CCUACGGGAGGCAGCAGUAAGGAAUAUUGGUCAAUGGACGAAAGUCUGAACCAGCCAUGCCGCGUGAAGGAUGAAGGUCCUCUGGAUUGUAAACUUCUUUUAUCUGGGACGAAAAAAGGGCAUUCUUGCUCACUUGACGGUACCAGAGGAAUAAGCACCGGCUAACUCCGUGCCAGCAGCCGCGGUAAUACGGAGGGUGCAAGCGUUAUCCGGAUUCACUGGGUUUAAAGGGUGCGUAGGUGGGUUGGUAAGUCAGUGGUGAAAUCUCCGAGCUUAACUCGGAAACUGCCAUUGAUACUAUCAGUCUUGAAUUUUCUGGAGGUAAGCGGAAUAUGUCAUGUAGCGGUGAAAUGCUUAGAUAUGACAUAGAACACCCAUUGCGAAGGCAGCUUACUACGGGAUAAUUGACACUGAGGCACGAAAGCGUGGGGAUCAAACAGGAUUAGAUACCCUGGUAGUCCACGCCCUAAACGAUGGAUACUCGACAUCAGCGAUACACUGUUGGUGUCUGAGCGAAAGCAUUAAGUAUCCCACCUGGGAAGUACGACCGCAAGGUUGAAACUUAAGGAAUUGACGGCNGAGAGAGACGAGACGACGACGAGGGAGGAGG
Molecule: ribosomal RNA, 610 nt
Filed under: uncultured bacterium
Lineage: Bacteria
Description: bacterial SSU rRNA
Rfam family: Bacterial small subunit ribosomal RNA
Source: RNAcentral